CGGGUGAGUAACGCGUGGGCAACCUGCCGCAUACCGGGGGAUAACACUUAGAAAUAGGUGCUAGUACCGCAUAAGCGCACAGAGCCGCAUGGCUUGGUGUGAAAAAACUCCGGUGGUAUGCGAUGGGCCCGCGUCUGAUUAGCUUGUUGGCGGGGCAGCGGCCCACCAAGGCGACGAUCAGUAGCCGGCCUGAGAGGGUGGACGGCCACAUUGGGACUGAGACACGGCCCAGACUCCUACGGGAGGCAGCAG
Molecule: ribosomal RNA, 252 nt
Filed under: uncultured bacterium
Lineage: Bacteria
Description: partial 16S ribosomal RNA
Rfam family: Bacterial small subunit ribosomal RNA
Source: RNAcentral